AUAUUACUUCGGGGCUGGGUGCAAUUCCCAACCGGCGGUAUAGCCCGCGAGCCAAAAGGCAUGAUCCGGUGAAAUUCCGGGGCCGACAGUAAAGUCUGGAUGAGAGAAGUGAGAU
Non-coding RNA from Butyrivibrio fibrisolvens DSM 3071, 115 nucleotides. The record is from Rfam. Lineage: Bacteria; Bacillati; Bacillota; Clostridia; Lachnospirales; Lachnospiraceae.